CGUUUCUUUGCUGGCGACCGGCGCACGGGUGAGUAACACGUAUCCAACCUGCCCUUUACUCGGGGAUAGCCUUUCGAAAGAAAGAUUAAUACCCGAUGGCAUAAUUAGACCGCAUGGUCUUAUUAUUAAAGAAUUUCGGUUAUCGAUGGGGAUGCGUUCCAUUAGGCAGUUGGUGAGGUAACGGCUCACCAAACCUUCGAUGGAUAGGGGUUCUGAGAGGAAGGUCCCCCACAUUGGAACUGAGACACGGUCCAA
RNAcentral lists this ribosomal RNA (255 nucleotides) under uncultured bacterium. Its description in RNAcentral is "partial 16S ribosomal RNA". It matches the Rfam family "Bacterial small subunit ribosomal RNA", at positions 78 to 334 of the family's 1533-position model. The record is from RNAcentral.